RNAcentral lists this ribosomal RNA (429 nucleotides) under Acidobacteriota bacterium. RNAcentral describes it as "Acidobacteria bacterium partial 16S ribosomal RNA". It matches the Rfam family "Bacterial small subunit ribosomal RNA", at positions 355 to 776 of the family's 1533-position model. The record is from RNAcentral. Lineage: Bacteria; Pseudomonadati; Acidobacteriota.
UAGGGAAUCUUCCGCAAUGGGCGAAAUCCUGACGGAGCAACGCCGCGUGAGUGAUGAAGGUCUUCGGAUCGUAAAACUCUGUUAUUAGGGAAGAACAAAUGUGUAAGUAACUAUGCACGUCUUGACGGUACCUAAUCAGAAAGCCACGGCUAACUACGUGCCAGCAGCCGCGGUAAUACGUAGGUGGCAAGCGUUAUCCGGAAUUAUUGGGCGUAAAGCGCGCGUAGGCGGUUUUUUAAGUCUGAUGUGAAAGCCCACGGCUCAACCGUGGAGGGUCAUUGGAAACUGGAAAACUUGAGUGCAGAAGAGGAAAGUGGAAUUCCAUGUGUAGCGGUGAAAUGCGCAGAGAUAUGGAGGAACACCAGUGGAGAAGGCGACUUUCUGGUCUGUAACUGACGCUGAUGUGCGAAAGCGUGGGGAUCAAACAGG